GACAGAGGGUGCAAACGUUGUUCGGAAUCACUGGGCGUAAAGCGCGUGUAGGCGGCUUGGAAAGUCGGGCGUGAAAUCCCGGGGCUCAACCCCGGAAGUGCACUCGAAACUUCCUAGCUAGAGUCCUGGAGAGGAAGGUGGAAUACUUGGUGUAGAGGUGAAAUUCGUAGAUAUCAAGUAGAACACCGGUGGCGAAGGCGGCCUUCUGGACAGUGACUGACGCUGAGACGCGAAAGCGUGGGGAGCAAACAGG
RNAcentral lists this ribosomal RNA (253 nucleotides) under uncultured bacterium. Its description in RNAcentral is "partial 16S ribosomal RNA". It matches the Rfam family "Bacterial small subunit ribosomal RNA", at positions 524 to 776 of the family's 1533-position model. The record is from RNAcentral.